AUGAACUCCUGGUGUUUUUGUUGGUUGCUUUCCCGAGUUCAUCGCAGGGGGUUGCUCCCAUCUGAUGCAUCUCCUGCGGGAGAAUCUCAGGAAUGUGCUGCAGUAUUGAAAAGUAGUACCGCACCGACUGGUGAAAGUGCUGAGGAAGUCCUUCAGCCAGGUAAGGCAAGUCUGCAUGCUUACUCAUUCCAUUGCUUAAUGACAGGCCUGUUAAUACACUCUCAAUUUGCACAAAGGGCUAAUGAAGGGGAGAAGACACAUAUUUCAUCUGCGUCUAAUGUGUUUACAUUCUCUCCUUCCACUUCUCUCCAUGUGAUCCAUGUGGCCCUGCACAGAUACUGUACCGUUCACCCUCAGGUAUUUUCACAGGUACAAAUGAUCGCAAGUCCAGAAAUGAUCCUGUUGGCAAGGGGUCCUCUGAGAAAAUGCUGCCCGCAGCUACCAAAAAGGUCACAAGACGGGUGCUCUGUCUACAAGCUCAUGUGCUGGAUCGUGCCGGGCACGAUCAACAGGGAUCGCCUGGCAACCGUGACAGCCCCGCGGGAUUCAGGAAGAGCGAUAAACCAGCCCCGCUUCAAUCAUCAUUCAUCUCUUCUUGCAUCAGGAUUAAAAAUGAGCCUGCUGUCCCAAUCUUUCUGGGCGAUCAUUGUCCUCUUCGCUGGUGACUGCAGCUGUUUCCAGGGGACAGGAGUUCCUACAACCCUGACAGAAGACUGACCAAGACCAGGAGGGGCAUGAAAACAGCACCAGAUCUCAACCGUUUAAGACAGCGCCAAUACACCAGGGCUCACAGGGCCGAUGCCCAGGACAGGGAUUCCCAAUCCUGAUCCUGGAGACUUGCACACUCCUGGUUUUCACUCCAGCCAAGCUUAAUUGCUUAAUAGAACCCAUAAUUGAACUACUAAGUUGCUUGAUUAGAACAUGUGCCCGUUUUUAUUUCUGCUCAGACGUUUGGGAAUUAAUUUCAAUUAGGAAAUGCAGCAGUUAAAAGGCAAACCCCAACAUGUUUGAGAGCUGUAAAGAAUCAAACAAUUCAGAUUAAUCCUAUUAUUAAGUCAAUUAAGGGAUCUAUUGUGAGCACUUGACUAGAACAUAAACCAGCUGGUGUGUUUGCCUCCAACAUGGAGUGUCUGGAAUGUGUUUAUACCCCUGUCCUGAUCUGAACAAUUCUACAACUUUAUCCCUGAGUUGUUUUCAAAACCAUACUACCUGACUGAGGGACCUUACAGAGACAGGUGUAUUUAUCCUAAAGUCAUGUGAAGGACUGUUACCAUAUUCGCCUAUUUGCCAUAGUGUAGGGAGGGAGUGCUCGUUCAAUCAAUAUUUUAAUUUUAUUUUUCUUUGUUGUCUACUGACGUUUAACAUCUUUUAUCAAUAAAAAUAACAAAAUACACCCUUAACAUAAAACAUACAUGAAAUAAUUCAAUUUGUUAUAUGUCAAGAUUCCUUCCAAUGGAAUAAAGCAUAGGGCCACUAAUCAAGGAAUCAGAGCUCACCAACUCCUUAUUUUUUUAAUUCACUACAUAGUACUGUUUUUUUAGCACACUCACUCUGUAAUCAGUGACUGAGCUGGUCAGCCCCUGUCUUCUGAAGGCAGCAGUGUGCGUGGUGUCUAGUCACUCCAGACAGCAGACACUGCUGGCAUGCAGGGAGAAAGGUAAUGUUUACCCUCGUGGCCCUCACAUGAAUCAUAGGACAGACUCCUGCUCUGCUCUUUCUUGAGUUUAUCAGCUUAUCACAAGCCAGUCUGACCCUUGCCCUCAGAGAACUGGUGCCAUGGUCAAGUAGCAAAUAACCAUAUUAGUAACUUUCCAGACAUAAAACAAUAAAUAUGAUUAUAGAUGUUUUAAAGCCGAUAAGAGAAAGAGAUGUCUAGCAUCAGGAUAUCUUCGAAUGAUAGCGAAUAACAGACCUGUUCCUGUACUAUCCUGACCCAGUUUCACUUUUUAACUUUUUUUUAUGACAGAACAUUACUGCCACUGGUGGCUGUAAAAUGGUUUAUUCUUUGUUGGAAACUCUUUGCGGUCAGCACACUGGUGCAGUUCUUAGGGCAGUGGUCAGUCCCUUGCUCCCAUUGCUUGCUGGGACAGACUCCAGCUCGCCCGCAACCCUGGAGUGGACGAAGUGGUCAGAAAAGAGAUGGAUGGAAACCCUUCACCAGACAGCAUUUCACCCCGGACCUGGGGGAAAUACAGCCCAGGUUUAGAAUUCCUCGAAACACACAUACGGCCUUGGUUUGAGUAACUAUAAUAGAACAAGUGUGUGUGAUGCAGAUUUGAGGAUCUGGUGAUUAUUUGUUGGGGGGGGGAGUGGUAUUUUUGGCAAUCGAUGCGUCCAGCAAAUCCCCUAAUGCACAUAGCUGCUGCUGUCCAAAAAUGCGGUGUAACAAUGAAUGAAAGAUUAAGUUUCAUAACCUCAGAUCUAAUCUCCGAAAUUCCCUGUGUCUAAAUGAUGAAAAUAAGCCUCUUGUCCGCUUCCUUUAACUUCUCCUUUGGCUCACUGUUAGAACAUUGCCUCUCUUGGAACAUUCCUGAAUUCCACUUAGGCAAACAAAAUCCUUUUCAUAAAAUGUGCUUAAUUUCUAGAAUAAUUACUGUAGGAUUGCUUUUUCUGUACUACGGCUCUGAACACAACUUAAGCACCAACACUCUACACUUGUGUUUUGAUGACAGCUUGAUUGAAAACUAGAAUUAAUAAUACAAAGAUUCCUAUUAGUUCAGGUGGGGAGCUGCGUCAGCAUGUGUAGGCUGCAAAGGAACAAGUAACAGGUUUAUUCCGUGCUGAAAAGAGAAGAAAGAAGACACAACGUUUCGGCUGUGGAGCCUUCUUCGGGUGUAAGAAAGAUGUUCUUUCUUAUGUAAUAGUUUUUUUUAUAUUUUUGGAGAACAGGUGCGGCGUGGUUUAAGCGUACUGUUAGUCACUGUGCUAGGUUUCAGAGCAAAUGUCUUACCUGUCUGUAGCAGAGCAGCUGGAUCUGGGGGGGUGUAAUACUAGUUUCGGCCACUAGAGGGCGGCAUACGAGUCAGCCGCUAGAGUGGACCUGAAUUCCUCACGAAGUCGGAAAGAGGAAUCGGCUUCAGCUGUCUGCAGGCUGAUUUCUGCAUAUAUGCGCUCAACACCACCAGAGGGGGUCUGUCUUGGUUCUGGGAGGAGUGGUAUUCUGGUAAGUUUUGAGGAGAGGUGGUGCGAGUAAUAAAAACAAUUUAAAAAAAAGAUUCUUUAGACUGUAGAAAUAGGCGACAGAUUAAAGAGAACUAUCGAUAAACACCGGCUUGCUGCCGCAUGUAGAAACGGGGUCGGAGGAAAUAGAACCGGUUAGAGACGAGCUGGGAAAGUCGGGAGUAGGUGGUUACGGUUCAUACUGGGGUGCAGUAAGUGUCCGCCCUCAGCCCGGUUCCCCCACUUCCCCGUAGAAAACGGGGUGCAUGUGCGUGUUUCCGCCCCGAUCUCGCCACCAGGCGGGGGGACCCGCUGCCCUCCCCCACCAGAGGCCUCUAGGUGACGGCGUCCGGGCCGGCGGACAGGGCUUCGAGAGAGGUCAUGCAGUAAUAUCCGAGACACAGGCUGGUCUGUGUGCUGCUGUUCCCCACCCCAGCCUCCCAGAGUCCACCUCUUCACGCCUCAUGAAACGGGAGUGUUUUUUUUUUGUGUGCCUUUUGUAAGCCCUAUUAAGCUGAAGGCACAGUGGAUUGUGCCAGACUAUGUGGGUUAUAUUAGAUUGAGUACAUUGGCAGCCAGAGCGCGGCUGGGGCCUUAACUUCUGUUUUUGCAGUGAUGGGCGGACGAUGGCCGGAGACGGAGACGCGCUGUGUGGCAGUGAGACUGGAGAAGGAUGUCCUUUUCGAGCAGGAAACCGGAUCGCGCGCAAAGAGACUUGUAGGUGAUGUCGACGAGUGUUGCAAUUCUGUGAUUUUUGGAGUGUGGUAUUGAUCCUCAGAUC
RNAcentral lists this long non-coding RNA (3940 nucleotides) under Lepisosteus oculatus (spotted gar). RNAcentral's name for it is "lncRNA (ENSLOCG00000021652.1)". The record is from RNAcentral. Lineage: Eukaryota; Metazoa; Chordata; Actinopteri; Semionotiformes; Lepisosteidae.